This 496-nucleotide ribosomal RNA is filed under the name uncultured bacterium. RNAcentral describes it as "partial 16S ribosomal RNA". It matches the Rfam family "Bacterial small subunit ribosomal RNA", at positions 28 to 506 of the family's 1533-position model. The record is from RNAcentral.
GAUGAACGCUGGCGGCGUGCCUAAUACAUGCCAGUCGAGCGAACAGACGAGGAGCUUGCUCCUCUGACGUUAGCGGCGGACGGGUGAGUAACACGUGGAUAACCUACCUAUAAGACUGGGAUAACUUCGGGAAACCGGAGCUAAUACCGGAUAAUAUAUUGAACCGCAUGGUUCAAUAGUGAAAGACGGUUUUGCUGUCACUUAUAGAUGGAUCCGCGCCGCAUUAGCUAGUUGGUAAGGUAACGGCUUACCAAGGCAACGAUGCGUAGCCGACCUGAGAGGGGGAUCGGCCACACUGGAACUGAGACACGGUCCAGACUCCUACGGGAGGCAGCAGUAGGGAAUCUUCCGCAAUGGGCGAAAGCCUGACGGAGCAACGCCGCGUGAGUGAUGAAGGUCUUCGGAUCGUAAAACUCUGUUAUUAGGGAAGAACAAAUGUGUAAGUAACGAUGCACGUCUUGACGGUACCUAAGCAGAAAGCCACGGCUAACUACGU